AGAGUUUGAUCCUGGCUCAGGACGAACGCUGGCGGCGUGCCUAACACAUGCAAGUGGAGCGACGAACCGGGCUUCGGCCCGGGGCAGAGCCGCGAACGGGUGAGUAACACGUGGGUAACGUGCCCCGAUGAUUGGGACAACCCGAGGAAACUCGGGCUAAUACCAAAUGUGCCCUGUGGCCAUAAGGCCUAUGGGGAAAGGAAGCUUCGGCCUCCGCAUCGGGAUCGGCCCGCGGCCCAUUAGCUAGUUGGUGAGGUAAAGGCUCACCAAGGCUUCGAUGGGUAGCUGGUCUGAGAGGACGAUCAGCCACACUGGGACUGAGACACGGCCCAGACUCCUACGGGAGGCAGCAGUGGGGAAUCUUGCGCAAUGCGCGAAAGCGUGACGCAGCAACGCCGCGUGGGUGAAGACGGCCUUCGGGUUGUAAACCCCUUUCAGCAGGGACGAAGCGAGAGUGACGGUACCUGCAGAAGAAGCGCCGGCUAACUACGUGCCAGCAGCCGCGGUAACACGUAGGGCGCAAGCGUUGUCCGGAAUUAUUGGGCGUAAAGAGCUCGUAGGUGGUCUGCUGCGUCCGCUGUGAAAACUCAGGGCUUAACCCUGAGCUUGCAGUGGAUACGGGCAGACUAGAGGUAGGUAGGGGAGAAUGGAAUUCCCGGUGUAGCGGUGAAAUGCGCAGAUAUCGGGAGGAACACCGGUGGCGAAGGCGGUUCUCUGGGCCUUACCUGACACUGAGGAGCGAAAGCGUGGGGAGCGAACAGGAUUAGAUACCCUGGUAGUCCACGCCGUAAACGUUGGGCGCUAGGUGUGGGGUCCUUCCACGGAUUCCGUGCCGCAGCUAACGCAUUAAGCGCCCCGCCUGGGGAGUACGGCCGCAAGGCUAAAACUCAAAGGAAUUGACGG
This 903-nucleotide ribosomal RNA is filed under the name uncultured Actinomycetes bacterium. RNAcentral describes it as "bacterial SSU rRNA". It matches the Rfam family "Bacterial small subunit ribosomal RNA", at positions 8 to 916 of the family's 1533-position model. The record is from RNAcentral. Lineage: Bacteria; Bacillati; Actinomycetota; Actinomycetes.